GGAGGCUGAGGUGGGCAGAUCACUUGAGGCCACCCUGGGCAACAUGGUGAAACCCUGUCUCUACUAAGAUACAAAAAAUGAGUUGGGCAUGGUGGCUGGUGUCUGUAGUACUAGCUACUUAGGAGUCUGAGGCAGGAGAAUCCCUUGGACCCAAGAGGUGGAGGUUGGAGUGAAUCAAGAUCGUGCCACUGCACUCCAGCCUGGGCAACAUUGAAUGCUGUGGAGUAGACCAUUCAGUAGGGUUGCGGACCAAAAAAAAGUCUAAUACCAAAGUAAAAAAGUGAGACAUGGGAGAUGAUGGAACAGGGAGAAGAUAUAUUGUUAAGUAUGAAUUAUGCAAUCAUUUUUUCAGAAGGGAGCAUGCAUAAAGAUGAAAGUGAAUGGCCCUCAGAGUACAGGGAUUUAUGAAAAGUAGAAUUCACAGUAGAUAAUAUAUUUAUGUUAUUUUUCAAAGUACCCACUCAUGGUAACUUGUUUUUACUGUUUAUUUUUGUUUGUUUGUUCAUUUUCACAUAAUUACGGCUCUAGAGGAGAGAGAGUAGAAGUCUUGUCUGGAGCAAGUAGUAAAGGAAGGCUGGUAGAUCAGCUGAUACUGAGGAAGAGAUUUCCAAUAUGGGUGGGAGAAGAAAAUCAAGCCCUAUGGAGAACUCUCCAAUAUGCAUCUUGGCUUCUAUAUAAAAAAAAGCUUAUGUAAAAAAUGCUAAGUAUAAACGCUGGCAAAUAAGUUUCAUACCAAAGAAGUCAGAGAAAAGGUUAUCAGUUUCUACAAAGUAAUAUAGUUAUCAGUCCAAGAAAGAGGAAAGAGGAAAUGAAAAAGACAUUUCAAAACAAGGUGUCAACUCUAAGAGUUUAUGCUUUUCUUCUACUUGUAUAGUAUAAAAUAUUUUUCCAUAUUUAAGCCAUAACUGAUUUUAAAACAUUUUCACCUUUCUAGAAUUUCUAUUAAAUUUCUAAAUUUUCCAUCAGUAAAAUUAAAACUUCACAGAUAUUGCUAACAAUAAUAUUAAGAAUACAAACUAGUACAAGUCAUUAUUAUUUUUCCUUAAAGGUUUUGCCAAUGAAUGUGCUCACUGUUACGUACACUCACACAUCCACACAAAAACACACACCAUCAUUUCCG
RNAcentral lists this long non-coding RNA (1120 nucleotides) under Homo sapiens (human). Its description in RNAcentral is "HSALNT0279852". Lineage: Eukaryota; Metazoa; Chordata; Mammalia; Primates; Hominidae. The record is from RNAcentral.